GGAGAGGUGCGAGAGUGGCCGAAUCGGCGUGACUGGAAAUCACGCGUGCGGGUAUCCCCCGCACCGUGGGUUCGAAUCCCACCCUCUCCGCCA
Molecule: transfer RNA, 93 nt
Filed under: Candidatus Poribacteria bacterium
Lineage: Bacteria; Candidatus Poribacteria
Also listed under: 1 other name
Description: tRNA-Ser
Rfam family: tRNA
About the family: Transfer RNA (tRNA) molecules are approximately 80 nucleotides in length. Their secondary structure includes four short double-helical elements and three loops (D, anti-codon, and T loops).
Source: RNAcentral